Molecule: non-coding RNA, 47 nt
Organism: Ixodes scapularis (black-legged tick)
Lineage: Eukaryota; Metazoa; Arthropoda; Arachnida; Ixodida; Ixodidae
Source: Rfam
AUUGCGGCUUUUUUAGAAGCCACAAAAAAAUGGGAGUCAUAUUGUUU